UUCCUACGGGCGGCUGCAGCAAGGAAUUUUCCGCAAUGGGCGCAAGCCUGACGGAGCAACGCCGCGUGCGGGAUGACGCUUUUCGGAGUGUAAACCGCUGUUCGUGGGGACGAAGCACUGACGGUACCCACGGAGGAAGGCCCGGCUAACUACGUGCCAGCAGCCGCGGUAAUACGUAGGGGUCGAGCGUUGUCCGGAGUUACUGGGCGUAAAGCGCGUGCAGGUGGCUCAUUACGCCCGGCGUGAAAGCCCCCGUCUCGACCGGGGAGGGUCGUCGGGGACGGAUGUGCUUGAGGGUCGCAGGGGCUGGUGGAAUUCCCGGUGUAGUGGUGAAAUGCGUAGAGAUCGGGAGGAACACCCGUGGCGAAGGCGGCCAGCUGGGCGACACCUGACACUGAGACGCGAAGGCGUGGGGAGCGAACGGGAUUAGAUACCCCAGUAGUCA
RNAcentral lists this ribosomal RNA (445 nucleotides) under uncultured bacterium. RNAcentral's name for it is "bacterial SSU rRNA". It matches the Rfam family "Bacterial small subunit ribosomal RNA", at positions 336 to 796 of the family's 1533-position model. The record is from RNAcentral.